CCUACGGGGUGCAGCAGUGAGGAAUAUUGGUCAAUGGGCGCGAGCCUGAUCCAGCCAAGUAGCGUGAAGGAUGAAUGCCCUCCGGGUUGUAAGCUUCUUUUAUAAAGGAAUCAAGUGAGGCACGUGUGCCUUUUUGUCUGUACUUUAUGAUUAAGGAUCGGCUAACUCUGUGCCAGCAGCCGCGGUAAUACGGAGGAUCCGAGCGUUAUCCGGAUUUAUUGGGUUUAAAGGGAGCGUAGAUGGGUUGUUAAGUCAGUUGUGAAAGUUUGCGGCUCAACCGUAAAAUUGCAAUUGAUACUGGCAGCCUUGAGUACAGUAGAGGUAGGCGGAAUUCGUGGUGUAGCGGUGAAAUGCGUAGAUAUCACGAAGAACUCCGAUUGCGAAGGCAGCUUACUAAACGGCCACUGACAUUGAGGCUCGAAAGUGUGGGUAGCAAACAGGAUUAGAUACCCCUGUAGUC
This 460-nucleotide ribosomal RNA is filed under the name uncultured bacterium. RNAcentral's name for it is "partial 16S ribosomal RNA". It matches the Rfam family "Bacterial small subunit ribosomal RNA", at positions 338 to 795 of the family's 1533-position model. The record is from RNAcentral.